This 440-nucleotide ribosomal RNA is filed under the name uncultured bacterium. RNAcentral's name for it is "partial 16S ribosomal RNA". It matches the Rfam family "Bacterial small subunit ribosomal RNA", at positions 338 to 795 of the family's 1533-position model. The record is from RNAcentral.
CCUACGGGCGACAGCAGUGGGGGAUAUUGCACAAUGGGCGCAAGCCUGAUGCAGCGACACCGCGUGAGCGAAGAAGGAUUUCGGGAUGUAAAGCUCUUUCAGCAGGGAAGAAAAUGACGGUACCUGACUAAGAAGCUACGGCUAAAUACGUGCCAGCAGCCGCGGUAAUACGUAGGGAGCAAGCGUUAUCCGGAGUUACUGGGUGUAAAGGGAGCGUAGGCGGCCCUGUAAGUCUGAUGUGAAAAUUUGGGGCUCAACCCCAAAAGUGCAUUGGAAACUGCAGGGCUUGAGUGCAGGAGAGGUAGGCGGAAUUCCUAGUGUAGCGGUGAAAUGCGUAGAUAUUAGGAGGAACACCAGUGGCGAAGGCGGCCUGCUGGAAGGUAACUGACGCUGAGGCUCGAAAGCGUGGGGAGCAAACAGGAUUAGAUACCCUAGUAGUC